RNAcentral lists this ribosomal RNA (385 nucleotides) under uncultured bacterium. RNAcentral describes it as "bacterial SSU rRNA". It matches the Rfam family "Bacterial small subunit ribosomal RNA", at positions 370 to 772 of the family's 1533-position model. The record is from RNAcentral.
AAUGGGGGCAACCCUGAUCCAGCCAUGCCGCGUGAGUGAAGAAGGCCUUAGGGUUGUAAAGCUCUUUCGGCGGGGACGAUGAUGACGGUACCCGCAGAAGAAGCCCCGGCUAACUUCGUGCCAGCAGCCGCGGUAAUACGAAGGGGGCAAGCGUUGUUCGGAUUUACUGGGCGUAAAGGGCGCGUAGGCGGAUCUUUAAGUCAGAGGUGAAAGCCCUGGGCUCAACCCGGGAAUUGCCUUUGAGACUGGGGAUCUUGAGUAUGGGAGAGGGUGGCGGAAUACCCAGUGUAGAGGUGAAAUUCGUAGAUAUUGGGUAGAACACCAGUGGCGAAGGCGGCCACCUGGCCCAUAACUGACGCUGAGGCGCGAAAGCGUGGGGAGCAAA